Molecule: ribosomal RNA, 917 nt
Filed under: uncultured bacterium
Lineage: Bacteria
Description: bacterial SSU rRNA
Rfam family: Bacterial small subunit ribosomal RNA
Source: RNAcentral
AGAGUUUGAUCCUGGCUCAGGAUGAACGCUAGCUACAGGCUUAACACAUGCAAGUCGAGGGGAAACGACAUCGAAAGCUUGCUUUUGAUGGGCGUCGACCGGCGCACGGGUGAGUAACGCGUAUCCAACCUGCCCACCACUUGGGGAUAACCUUGCGAAAGUAAGACUAAUACCCAAUGAUAUCUCUAGAAGACAUCUGAAAGAGAUUAAAGAUUUAUCGGUGAUGGAUGGGGAUGCGUCUGAUUAGCUUGUUGGCGGGGUAACGGCCCACCAAGGCAACGAUCAGUAGGGGUUCUGAGAGGAAGGUCCCCCACAUUGGAACUGAGACACGGUCCAAACUCCUACGGGAGGCAGCAGUGAGGAAUAUUGGUCAAUGGACGAGAGUCUGAACCAGCCAAGUAGCGUGCAGGAUGACGGCCCUAUGGGUUGUAAACUGCUUUUAUAAGGGAAUAAAGUGAGUCUCGUGAGACUUUUUGCAUGUACCUUAUGAAUAAGGACCGGCUAAUUCCGUGCCAGCAGCCGCGGUAAUACGGAGGGUCCGGGCGUUAUCCGGAUUUAUUGGGUUUAAAGGGAGCGUAGGCCGGAGAUUAAGCGUGUUGUGAAAUGUAGACGCUCAACGUCUGCACUGCAGCGCGAACUGGUUUCCUUGAGUACGCACAAAGUGGGCGGAAUUCGUGGUGUAGCGGUGAAAUGCUUAGAUAUCACGAAGAACUCCGAUUGCGAAGGCAGCUCACUGGAGCGCAACUGACGCUGAAGCUCGAAAGUGCGGGUAUCGAACAGGAUUAGAUACCCUGGUAGUCCGCACGGUAAACGAUGGAUGCUCGCUGUUUGCGUCUGACGUAAGCGGCCAAGCGAAAGCGUUAAGCAUCCCACCUGGGGAGUACGCCGGCAACGGUGAAACUCAAAGGAAUUGACGG